This 81-nucleotide small RNA is filed under the name Arabidopsis thaliana (thale cress). RNAcentral describes it as "ATSL211380". The record is from RNAcentral. Lineage: Eukaryota; Viridiplantae; Streptophyta; Magnoliopsida; Brassicales; Brassicaceae.
UCCAUUGAGAGGACGUGAACAUCAGAGGGAUGUGACUGACCAAUAAGGAUUAGGUCAAAACUGUUGGAAAAGUCUUGUUGC